This 449-nucleotide ribosomal RNA is filed under the name uncultured bacterium. RNAcentral's name for it is "partial 16S ribosomal RNA". It matches the Rfam family "Bacterial small subunit ribosomal RNA", at positions 29 to 523 of the family's 1533-position model. The record is from RNAcentral.
AACGAACGCUGGCGGCAUGCCUAACACAUGCAAGUCGAACGAGACCUUCGGGUCUAGUGGCGCACGGGUGCGUAACGCGUGGGAAUCUGCCCUUCGGUUGGGAAUAACUGAGAGAAAUUUCAGCUAAUACCUUAUAAUGUCUUCGGACCAAAGAUUUAUCGCCGAGGGAUGAGCCCGCGGAGGAUUAGGUAGUUGGUGGGGUAAUGGCCUACCAAGCCGACGAUCCUUAGCUGGUCUGAGAGGAUGAUUAGCCACACUGGGACUGAGACACGGCCCAGACUCCUACGGGAGGCAGCAGUGGGGAAUAUUGGACAAUGGGCGAAAGCCUGAUCCAGCAAUGCCGCGUGAGUGAUGAAGGCCUUAGGGUUGUAAAGCUCUUUUACCCGGGAUGAUAAUGACAGUACCGGGAGAAUAAGCUCCGGCUAACUCCGUGCCAGCAGCCGCCGUAA